RNAcentral lists this small nuclear RNA (101 nucleotides) under Canis lupus familiaris (dog). RNAcentral also lists the same sequence under 1 other name. Lineage: Eukaryota; Metazoa; Chordata; Mammalia; Carnivora; Canidae. The record is from RNAcentral.
GUGCCCGCUUCAGCAGCACAGAUGCUAAAAUUAGAAUACAGAGAUUAGCAUGGCCCUUGUGCAGGGAUGACACACAAAAUCAAGAAGCAGGCUAUAUUUUU